GUCUAUGCUCGUACUACCUUAGAACCGCCCAGUCCCGUCUGAUCGCGGAAACUAAGCAGGCUCGGUUUUGGCCAGUACUCAGAUGGGAGACUGCGCGGGCAUACCUAGCGUUGUAGGUC
This 119-nucleotide ribosomal RNA is filed under the name Anas platyrhynchos (mallard). The record is from RNAcentral. RNAcentral also lists the same sequence under 2 other names. Lineage: Eukaryota; Metazoa; Chordata; Aves; Anseriformes; Anatidae.